AUCACUCUUAAAUAUUCUACUCUCUAUCGGUAGUUCGCGCUAAAUCUCGUUUCUGUAUCUCACCUAUCAGGGCCUGCCAUUCGGGUCGAGGAUCAUCCCUCCCUCAGGAGUCCAACGUUCUUCCUCCACUUUAAACUAAAAUCAAAAUUUCUAAAACCGCUCUUGGGAUACUGCGCAGGAUUUUAACAAUUAAUUUAGAGAAAUGGAACUCUGAUCGAGAGUGAUUAAAGCAAAGGCGACCUGGGAUCACGCAAAUGGAUACAGUUGAAGAUUUGAGAUAUUGAUACGAACCGCAUUUCCAUUAUGCGAAAUCACAACUGAGACGUGCGUGGCGUGGUUCGAGCAGAUUUUUGACAUCAAGUACAAUUCAUUCGAAAUUCGAAAAAUACACCAAAGCAAUGGACGUGAUUCGAAAUUCAAAUUACCGCACCACAGUUCUGUUCAUAUUUCGAAAUUCAAAGAAAAUUGAGUAUUUGUUUACUGGGAGAAAAUAAAUAAAAAUUAUUUUGUA
Molecule: long non-coding RNA, 511 nt
Organism: Pieris brassicae (large cabbage white)
Lineage: Eukaryota; Metazoa; Arthropoda; Insecta; Lepidoptera; Pieridae
Exons: 2
Source: RefSeq, a predicted model, not a curated record